UACGGGGGGGUGCGAGCGUUGUCCGGAAUCACUGGGCGUAAAGGGCGCGUAGGUGGUUUGAUAAGGAUGUGGUGAAAGUCCGGAGCUCAACUCCGGAUCUGCCGUGCCGACUGUCAAACUCGAGGGCUGUAGAGGCAGACGGAAUUCCGGGUGUAGCGGUGGAAUGCGCAGAUAUCAGGAGGAACACCGGUGGCGAAGGCGGGGUCUCUGGCGCAUACUGACGCUGAGGAGCGAAAAGCGUGGGGAGCGAACAGG
This 255-nucleotide ribosomal RNA is filed under the name uncultured bacterium. RNAcentral's name for it is "partial 16S ribosomal RNA". It matches the Rfam family "Bacterial small subunit ribosomal RNA", at positions 524 to 776 of the family's 1533-position model. The record is from RNAcentral.